UUCUCUUAUCAAUAAUAUUUUCUUGCUUAUAAAAAAACAAACCUUUUUUAAUUAUAAAUCUUACACUAAAAAAUAGCAAAUUCAUUCAACUAUAAAUUUGCACACAAAAAAUUACAAACUAACUACUCAAACUCCAUUACACCUUAUGACUAGAGUUAUUGUAGCAAAAAAAAAUUAAAUAACUUUUUUAUUUAUUUAUACUAAUAUUUUAGUUUUGUUUUCUCACUAUUCAUUGUAGAAUUAAGAUCAAUAUCAACUUUGGCACAAAUAUUUCAAAAUAUCAAAUUUUAUCCUCUUAAAUUAAUCUCAAUUUGGAAAAUUUUACAAAAGAAUAUACUUGCAUUAAAACUCACUUCAUUUAAUUUAACAAAAGUAUAUAAAAUCAAAUAUCUUUAAAUAAUGUUAGGGUAGUUCCACCAAAACGGAAUACCAACAACAACACCAUUAGAGUUCUUGCCACCAAAAUCCAUUCCAGUCAAACGGUCACUAUAAACUCCAUUCACCAACAGUUUCCUUUUCCGCCAC
This 525-nucleotide long non-coding RNA is filed under the name Lathyrus oleraceus (garden pea). Its description in RNAcentral is "Pisum sativum (pea) long non-coding RNA (PSAT_LNC016724)". The record is from RNAcentral. Lineage: Eukaryota; Viridiplantae; Streptophyta; Magnoliopsida; Fabales; Fabaceae.